Molecule: long non-coding RNA, 1316 nt
Organism: Rhinichthys klamathensis goyatoka
Lineage: Eukaryota; Metazoa; Chordata; Actinopteri; Cypriniformes; Leuciscidae
Exons: 2
Source: RefSeq, a predicted model, not a curated record
CCUUAGAGAUCCAAUAAUGGAAAAAGAGUGGUUAAAAGGAACUAAUGGACAGACUGUGUGUCUGACUUCAAAUUACAUAAUUGUAGGACCAGAGGGAGCAGCGUUACAAAUUGAACACUGUGAAUUCACUAAUACUUGGUUUAGAGUAGAUGAUUCAGUCCCACUUGAAGAUUGGCCAGCAGAGGUUCCAAAUCCGCAUACGCUAUUGACGAAUGUUCCACCUGCUGCUAAUUAUUUCACUGUGAUUGAUCUCUGUUCUGCAUUUUUCAGCGUUCCAUUAGCAGAAGAAAGCAGACACCUUUUUUCCUUCACUUACCAAGGUAAACAAUAUACAUACACUAGAAUGCCUCAAGGAUUUAAACACUAUUUACACUCAUCAUAAGACUGCUGAAUUAUUAGAACAAGGACGAUUUGUUUUAACACAGGCCAGAUGCUUAGCAUAUUCUACAUUGACAACUUAUCCUGAUAUCACGAUGAAGCGUUGUACCACAGUUAAUCCAGCUAAUUUUGUCCCGCUGGAGGGGGAAGGAACACCUCAUGAGUGUGUUUCUGUCUCUCUAGCAUUUACUCGUCUGAGACCAGAUUUGGAAUCAACACCAAUUGUUGAUGCAGACGUAGAUUAUUUCGUUGAUGGCUCAUGUUUUAGAGACCACUUAGGUAACCAUGCUGGUUUUGCUGUUGUACAAAAAGAUGGAGAUAAUUUUACUCCCGUGAUAAGUCAACAUUGUGAGCAACCUUGCUCAGCACAAUUGGCUGAACUUAAAUCACUUAAUGAAGCUUGCAUAUUGGCUAAAAACAAAGCAGCCAACAUUUAUACUGACUCUGCAUAUGCCCAUGGCGUAUGUCAUUUAUUCGGUGCAGUGUGGAAGAAAAAAGAGGAUUUAAAAAGAGUGAUGGAACCCCAAUUCAACAUGGAGACCAAAUUACUAAAUUGAUUACAGCUUUGAUGUUUCCUACAAAAUUGACCAUAAUUAAAUGCCAGGCCCAUAAGAAAGGUAAUGACUUUGUCAUCAAAGGCAACAAUGUGGCUGAUAUGCAUGCGAAACAAGCCUCUGGAUGCCAAUUAGCGGUAAUGGCACCCUAAGUCCUGAUUCAGCCUCUCCCCACUGUAGAAAGUAUUGCCCAAAUGCAGUCCAGAGCAACACCACCUGAGAUAUAUUUAUGGCAGCAAAGGGGGGCGACAAGAGAUUCAGACAAUAUAUGAAGAUCACAUGAAGGCCACAUGAUAGCCCCCACCCCAUCGCUUAACAUUUUAAUUCCGGAUUCCCACAGUUUUGAUCACUGUGGAAGGGGGGAAAUGAUAAGGAAGAUAAAAA